ACCGGUGUGGCUCAGUGGAUAGAGCGUUGGCUUGAGGACCCAAGGGUCCUGGGUUUAAUUCCGGUCAAGGGUA
Molecule: non-coding RNA, 73 nt
Organism: Myotis davidii
Lineage: Eukaryota; Metazoa; Chordata; Mammalia; Chiroptera; Vespertilionidae
Source: Rfam